GAUGAGCGCUAGCUACAGGCUUAACACAUGCAAGUCGAGGGGCAGCAUGGUCUUAGCUUGCUAAGGCCGAUGGCGACCGGCGCACGGGUGAGUAACACGUAUCCAACCUGCCGUCUACUCUUGGACAGCCUUCUGAAAGGAAGAUUAAUACAAGAUGGCAUCAUGAGUCCGCAUGUUCACAUGAUUAAAGGUAUUCCGGUAGACGAUGGGGAUGCGUUCCAUUAGAUAGUAGGCGGGGUAACGGCCCACCUAGUCUUCGAUGGAUAGGGGUUCUGAGAGGAAGGUCCCCCACAUUGGAACUGAGACACGGUCCAAACUCCUACGGGAGGCAGCAGUGAGGAAUAUUGGUCAAUGGGCGAGAGCCUGAACCAGCCAAGUAGCGUGAAGGAUGACUGCCCUAUGGGUUGUAAACUUCUUUUAUAAAGGAAUAAAGUCGGGUAUGCAUACCCGUUUGCAUGUACUUUAUGAAUAAGGAUCGGCUAACUCCGUGCCAGCAGCCGCGGUAAUACGGAGGAUCCGAGCGUUAUCCGGAUUUAUUGGGUUUAAAGGGAGCGUAGAUGGAUGUUUAAGUCAGUUGUGAAAGUUUGCGGCUCAACCGUAAAAUUGCAGUUGAUACUGGAUAUCUUGAGUGCAGUUGAGGCAGGCGGAAUUCGUGGUGUAGCGGUGAAAUGCUUAGAUAUCACGAAGAACUCCGAUUGCGAAGGCAGCCUGCUAAGCUGCAACUGACAUUGAGGCUCGAAAGUGUGGGUAUCAAACAGGAUUAGAUACCCUGGUAGUCCACACGGUAAACGAUGAAUACUCGCUGUUUGCGAUAUACAGCAAGCGGCCAAGCGAAAGCGUUAAGUAUUCCACCUGGGGAGUACGCCGGCAACGGUGAAACUCAAAGGAAUUGACGGGGGCCCGCACAAGCGGAGGAACAUGUGGUUUAAUUCGAUGAUACGCGAGGAACCUUACCCGGGCUUAAAUUGCAGAUGAAUUACGGUGAAAGCCGUAAGCCGCAAGGCAUCUGUGAAGGUGCUGCAUGGUUGUCGUCAGCUCGUGCCGUGAGGUGUCGGCUUAAGUGCCAUAACGAGCGCAACCCUUGUUGUCAGUUACUAACAGGUUCUGCUGAGGACUCUGACAAGACUGCCAUCGUAAGAUGUGAGGAAGGUGGGGAUGACGUCAAAUCAGCACGGCCCUUACGUCCGGGGCUACACACGUGUUACAAUGGGGGGUACAGAGGGCCGCUACCACGCGAGUGGAUGCCAAUCCCCAAAACCUCUCUCAGUUCGGACUGGAGUCUGCAACCCGACUCCACGAAAGCUGGAUUCGCUAGUAAUCGCGCAUCAGCCACGGCGCGGUGAAUACGUUCCCGGGCCU
RNAcentral lists this ribosomal RNA (1359 nucleotides) under uncultured bacterium. Its description in RNAcentral is "bacterial SSU rRNA". It matches the Rfam family "Bacterial small subunit ribosomal RNA", at positions 28 to 1381 of the family's 1533-position model. The record is from RNAcentral.